This 326-nucleotide long non-coding RNA is filed under the name Gopherus agassizii (Agassiz's desert tortoise). RNAcentral describes it as "lncRNA (ENSGAGG00000011544.1)". The record is from RNAcentral. Lineage: Eukaryota; Metazoa; Chordata; Testudines; Testudinidae.
AUAGGAUUUCAGAGUCGUGCAAGCCAGAUGCAAAACCUGAAGGAUUCACUGUGCAGGGAGUAUACAACUGGAUGUCUAGAAAGGCAGGCCAGCGCUCCACUUUGAGAGAGCCUUCCUGGACAUCCUGUCCAAACAAAUCCCCGCCACCCGACCCUCACCAACUGCUAUGGAAAGCAACGAAAUAUUUUGUUUAUGUUUGUGAAUUUCAGAUCCCUCUUUGAAAAGGGAGACAUUUUCCCCAGUUCUAUUCAGACUACGCCACCAGUGUGCCCUGGAAGAGCCCAGAACAAGCUGCAAUGGCCCUGCAGGUGAGCCGCUUCUGUUGC